This 770-nucleotide ribosomal RNA is filed under the name uncultured Gammaproteobacteria bacterium. RNAcentral describes it as "bacterial SSU rRNA". It matches the Rfam family "Bacterial small subunit ribosomal RNA", at positions 29 to 786 of the family's 1533-position model. The record is from RNAcentral. Lineage: Bacteria; Pseudomonadati; Pseudomonadota; Gammaproteobacteria.
CUNCUAACGCGGCUGGUAGGCUAAACACAUGCAAGUCGAACGGAAACGAUGAAAAGCUUGCUUUUCAGGCGUCGAGUGGCGGACGGGUGAGUAACGCGUGGGAAUCUACCCUAUAGUUGGGGACAACAUAUGGAAACGUAUGCUAAUACCGAAUAAGCUCUACGGAGUAAAGGAGCCCACUUCCUGAAAGGUUUCGCUAUAGGAUGAGCCCGCGUUAGAUUAGCUAGUUGGUAAGGUAACGGCUUACCAGGCCACGAUCUAUAGCUGGUUUGAGAGGAUGAUCAGCCACACUGGGACUGAGACACGGCCCAGACUCCUACGGGAGGCAGCAGUGGGGAAUAUUGCACAAUGGACGCAAGUCUGAUGCAGCCAUACCGCGUGUGUGAAGAAGGCCCGAGGGUUGUAAAGCACUUUCAGUAGGGAGGAAGAUACUAGGGUUAAUACCCCUAUUAUUUGACGUUACCUACAGAAGAAGCACCGGCUAACUCUGUGCCAGCAGCCGCGGUAAUACAGAGGGUGCAAGCGUUAUUCGGAAUUACUGGGCGUAAAGCGCGCGUAGGCGGAUGAUUAAGUCAGUUGUGAAAGCCCUGGGCUCAACCUAGGAACGGCAUCUGAUACUGGUCAUCUAGAGUUUAAGAGAGGGAAGUGGAAUUCCAGGUGUAGCAGUGAAAUGCGUAAAUAUCUGGAGGAACAUCAGUGGCGAAGGCGAUUCCUGGCUUAAAACUGACGCUGAGGUGCGAAAGCGUGGGUNACGAACGGGAUUAGAUNCC